UGGAUGGAAUUAGAGUGUAUUAUGCUAAGGGAAAUAAGUCAGAGAAAGACAAAUACCAUAUGAUUUCACUCAUAUGAGGACUUUAAGAGUCAAAAGAGUUGAACAUAAAGGAAGGGAA
Long non-coding RNA from Leopardus geoffroyi (Geoffroy's cat), 118 nucleotides. RefSeq lists it as uncharacterized. The record is from RefSeq and is a predicted model, not a curated record. Lineage: Eukaryota; Metazoa; Chordata; Mammalia; Carnivora; Felidae. The transcript is spliced from 2 exons.